GCCUGGGUGGCUCAGUCAGUUGAGCGUCCGACUUCAGCUCAGGUCAUGAUCUCACAGUCUGUGAGUUCGAGUCUCACGUCGGGCU
Molecule: transfer RNA, 85 nt
Filed under: Felis catus (domestic cat)
Lineage: Eukaryota; Metazoa; Chordata; Mammalia; Carnivora; Felidae
Rfam family: tRNA
About the family: Transfer RNA (tRNA) molecules are approximately 80 nucleotides in length. Their secondary structure includes four short double-helical elements and three loops (D, anti-codon, and T loops).
Source: Rfam by way of RNAcentral